Molecule: long non-coding RNA, 695 nt
Organism: Mauremys reevesii (Reeves's turtle)
Lineage: Eukaryota; Metazoa; Chordata; Testudines; Geoemydidae
Exons: 4
Source: RefSeq, a predicted model, not a curated record
UUCCCCACCAUCUUGGAGAGAGAGGAGUCCCUCCAGACACCAGAGUGAGCAGAGCCAGGGAGCUCUGAGCCUACCCCCAAAGAGUGAGGGGUGGCAUAGGAAGUAUAAAGGCCCAAUCCCAGAGCUCACUGGGAGAGCAGCCGCUGGGGAGGCCAGACACCUCCGGCCUAGCUCACAAUUGGGAAACCCCAGCGGCCUGCAGUAAACCCGAGGACUGGCCCAGUCUGCCCCGUGCCAGCUACCAGGAGGAGUUGCUGAGCCUGCCCCACACCAGCUGUCCUGAGGAACCCAUGGUGAUGGACCCCCGAGGACACCACCCUGACCCAGAUUUAAAGCCAAGUCAGUGCAGCCUGGAAAAAACUUCAAUUGUUUGAGCUGCAUAAAAAGCACAAGACAAGAUUGAACUAUUUCUGCCUCUCAAGAAGUGGAUGCUGAGCUGACAACUCUCAGAGGCUGUUCUGGAGGGGAUCUGGAACCUACCAUCCUCUCUUUCAGUGAUAGAUCCAGCCCCUGGCAAGGAGAGAAAGAUUGGAAGAGGAAAACAAGCUGGGCCUGCUUUUUCAACUUCCAAUGAGUUUUUAAACUUUGAACGAACUAGUCAUUGAACCGGACUAGCUGAAUAAACUGAAAUUAAGAAAAUAUUCUCUCUCCAUCUGUGGAAGAGGCUUCUGCUGUUAAAAGCUGGUUUAGCACAU